AUUUCCCUCACAUUCCCUGACACAGCACAACGCACUCACAUGCUCUCAUUUCCUUUCUCUUUUCUUUCCCAGCACAAGCACCACGCAUACAACCUUCUUUUUUCGUAGCACAAUUUCUCCUUCUCUUUGGUCUCUUUCCCAAUCACACAUAGGCACAUCGAGACACUCACACAUAGGCACAUCGAGACACACAGGAGCUUCCUCUUCUUCCUCCAUUUUUUUGCUGCUCAAAGAUUG
RNAcentral lists this small RNA (237 nucleotides) under Vigna angularis var. angularis. Its description in RNAcentral is "Non-protein coding transcript". The record is from RNAcentral. Lineage: Eukaryota; Viridiplantae; Streptophyta; Magnoliopsida; Fabales; Fabaceae.